This 403-nucleotide ribosomal RNA is filed under the name uncultured bacterium. RNAcentral describes it as "partial 16S ribosomal RNA". It matches the Rfam family "Bacterial small subunit ribosomal RNA", at positions 28 to 526 of the family's 1533-position model. The record is from RNAcentral.
GACGAACGCUGGCGGCGUGCCUAAUACAUGCAAGUCGAACGCAGUGGGGACGGGUGAGUAACACGUGGGUAACCUCCCAUCAGAGGGGAUAAAACUUGGAAACAGGUGCUAAACCGAUACUGAUGGAUGGACCCGCGGUGCAUUAGCUAGUUGGUGAGGUAACGGCUCACCAAGGCCACGAUGCAUAGCCGAUCUGAGAGGAGGAUGUGCAAAACUGGAAUUGAGACAAGGCCCAGACUCCUACGGGAGGCAGCAGUGGGGAAUCUUCGGCAAUGGACGAAAGUCUGACCGAGCAACGCAGCGUGGGUGAAGAAGGUUUUCGGAUCGUAAAGCUCUGUUGUUAGAGAAGCGUUAUCUGACGAGAAAGCCACGGCUAACCACGUGCCAGCAGCCGCGGUAAUUC